UACAGAGGUCUCAAGCGUUGUUCGGAUUCAUUGGGCGUAAAGGGUGCGUAGGUGGCGCCGUAAGUCGGGUGUGAAAUUUCGGAGCUUAACUCCGAAACUGCAUUCGAUACUGCGGUGCUUGAGGACUGGAGAGGAGACUGAAAUUCAUGGUGUAGCAGUGAAAUGCGUAGAGAUCAUGAGGAAGACCAGUGGCGAAGGCGGGUCUCUGGACAGUUCCUGACACUGAGGCACGAAGGCCAGGGGAGCAAACGGG
RNAcentral lists this ribosomal RNA (253 nucleotides) under uncultured bacterium. RNAcentral's name for it is "partial 16S ribosomal RNA". It matches the Rfam family "Bacterial small subunit ribosomal RNA", at positions 524 to 776 of the family's 1533-position model. The record is from RNAcentral.